GGAAAUAGAGCUAAAACCUAAUAAAAGGAACCGUGAAUGGAUAGUAUGGAUUCAUGUAUAUUAUCCAGAAAGUUGCAUGACCUUUUGUGGUACUCAGGUCACUAAAAAACGUGAGAUAAACAUCUAGGAUAAGAAAAGCAAAAAAGCAUAACCUAAUACGUAUUAUAUGAAUUGAAGGUGUCACUGAACACUACUAACCUGCUUUGCCACUCUCCUUAUGAUUUCAUCAUUUGAUAAGGGCAUAUAAGGAUCUCCAGGCGUCAAAACGCAUCUGAAAGAUAAUAUGGUUAUAGGAAGCAAGAUGGAAUACAAAGACACUUGGCAAAAGGAAGUCAAUCAGAUUCCAUGCACAAAAAAUAACUAAUAAUGACGAGGAUAAGAAAUGUUUCUUACUGGAGAAAUGAACCUUGCCCUUCUCUGUAGUAGUAUUCUGGUGAAGUGAGUGCUAGAUCUGCAAAGCAAGGGAAAUCUGCAUCUGGAGUAUAUAAAAGGUUAUCUAGCCCCACAGCUUGCUUCUAUUGCCUACAUGUUCAAUACAAGGAUCCGUUAAAAAAUGGAAAUUUCUUCAAUGCAUUAGUAAAGGGGAGUGAAGUGAAAGCUGAUUUCUUAGGCCUUCACAGAGCAUCUUGUGUUUGACAGCAAGCACUAAAGAAUAAACUCAAAGUCAGUGCUUCUAACAGAUGAUAUAAACAACAAAUUUACAAAUAUCAGGUCAUUGCAUUAGCUCCAUGCCUCCAUCAGAGCGAACAUUAAUAGAUGCGUAAAAAAAAAAUAAGAGCCAUAUGUGAAACAAUUUACCUUAGACAUGGCAAGUCCUUUGACAAAUGUUUCCCCGUUAGCAAAUUUAUCAUAAUGCAUCUCUCUGCAUCCCCACCUAAGAUGGAACCUGUUCUCACAAGAACAGACUCCAAGGUUGGGAAAAUCAAUUGAUCAUCGGAGAAAACAAACAGGAUUAACAAAUCACUACAAUGGUGUGAACCCGUAAAUACAAAUGUACCUGCCCCCUUUAUUUGCGAUAUAUUUUCUUAUUGGCCCAAUCAAAUAAACAUCCGGAGAACCCUUGAGCAUCUGUAAUAGGGAAGCCUCGGUCUUAGUCGCAAACAGUGCAAAUAUAGUAUGCAUACAACGAGCAAUGAUGUUAUCACAAUCAAUAAACCCAAGGGCAAACGCAACAGAAUCUUACAUUCUUUGGAUACUCAUCCAUGUACCACCCUUGGACAAAAACCAAUCAGAGAAGCUUAUCUGUAAGAAGAAAUGAAGUUUUAGGUAAAAUAAAAAUUUGUAGGAACAGGGAUUGAAAUUCAACAAACAAGAGCAAUAGCAUUUCUUGAUUUAUCAUAAGUCUGCACUUGAGCAAUAUACGAGGCAAAGUACAUCAAAAGAGAAUCCAAAAGAGGCAAGAAGCUUCAACAUGAAAAAAGGAGUACUGCCUCGUCAUACUGCUUUGCAAUCACAGUGCAAAAGAUAACAUCAACAAAAUCAAAAUCGAGCAUAAAUCCGUAUGCACUACCUUAAGCUGAUUUGUAGACAAAAAUGCAUGAAUCCCAUGUAAUGGAGCUCUAAUCGGAAACCGGAAAUCAAGUUCUGGAGUUGAAAAUCAAAAUCAUGAAUCAAAUCAGAGUUGUUAUUGAAUUAGACAAUCCAUAAACCAAUAGAAGGUGAUGUCAAACCAUCAAGCAUAACUAUUAGUUGUUUUAAGUGAUCAAGAAAUAACUAUACCACCAAUUUCACCACCCUUAUUUACAAAUUUAUGAGUAUGAUCCUUCAUGAGUAAAUUUUCGUCCGCACCGACCUGUCGACAUCCAUGAAAAACUAUCAGAUCAUAAACACAGGUUCCAGUUAAAGAGGAUCUAUGAUUCUGAUCCAUCAUGUUAUUUGAACAACAUAUUCGGAUUUUCUUACAACCCUAAGCUUUUAUCAGUUAUCAUCGCUACAAAUGAUAUGGUCAAGAGGAAUGAUAGUUCUUGUUUCAAGAAUCUCAAAUCGUAAUUCUUUUGCAUGGCUUCUGUGCUUUUAUAAUCAUUCAAACACGCAUAUCCACAACUAAGCAAGCUUUACCUUUUUUGUCAAUCGGAACAGAUUAUUGUAGCAUCCAAAGAAAACGUGCAGGCUGAUUUCAAUAUGGUUUCCACGUUUACAGACAAAUGAAGCCACUUUACCACCAAUAAAAGACCUCAACUCAUAUAUAUCCACCUGGAAGAAAGGAAAAGUUUAAAAAAAAGGAAUAAAAAUUCUUCUAAUUUCUUUCACCAUCAACAAAAUCAGAAAAACACAUACUAAUUCAAAAUGAAAUAAAGUUUGUGAAUUGAAAUAAUGCCAACUCCUAAGAAAAAUUAUGACUGCUGAUAUUUUUUCCGAAAUGCUGAUAAAAGCUUCUGCUAUUUACUUUGAAAAAAUUGAGGUUAGAAGCCUAUUUACUUGAAAUUUUGAGUUUAGGCAAGAGGAUGAAUGGUAAAAGUGAAACAUUUUAGGGAAAAAUGUACGUCAGAGGCCAAUGAAAGCAUUCAGAAGAUUGAAAUCUAAAUGAGCAAAACCCCGUGGCCUUGAUCCAACAAAUCCACUGCUGUUGACAUGCCUGCAAGCCCAGCUCCAAUAAUAGCCACUCUCAGCUUUGGUCCUCUAUAAUGUUCCGGUUCUGGUAGAAACAAACCCUUGGGAGCUGCCAAGUAUACCACAUCUUAAAAGUGUAAAGUAUUAUUCUGAUUAAUUUAAAAUAAUUAUUAUUGGAUUCAAAUCAUGUCCUAGGCAUUUUUUCUUCUAGUUGGAGCUUCCAUUUGUUCUAGAGAUUCAAAGGCAGCAAGCUGCUUCCCCAGUGCUACUAAUUCUUCCCCGGCAUUGCAUGUGUAGCCUGAGGCUUGUCUACCAGACAAAGUUGCUCCUUCCAUACUAUCUAUGUAAUCCUGUGAGAGUGAAACCAUUUAGAAGACAUAUCUCUUUUUUUCCAAUAUUUGGAAUGAAACAAUUAUAUACAGUUACCUGUUUUGUAUAUGAGCUGGCGAGGAAGAAGUUCUUCACUGGUAUCUUUUGAUCAGGUCUGAAGGGGUCUUUACCAGGUCCCUCACCUCACAAAGAUUGCCGGAUUUUGACGACAGAUAACCAAAUAACUUCUAAACCUUGGGAUGAUGGAAAUAGAGCUAAAACCUAAUAAAAGGAACCGUGAAUGGAUAGUAUGGAUUCAUGUAUAUUAUCCAGAAAGUUGCAUGACCUUUUGUGGUACUCAGGUCACUAAAAAACGUGAGAUAAACAUCUAGGAUAAGAAAAGCAAAAAAGCAUAACCUAAUACGUAUUAUAUGAAUUGAAGGUGUCACUGAACACUACUAACCUGCUUUGCCACUCUCCUUAUGAUUUCAUCAUUUGGUAAGGGCAUA
RNAcentral lists this long non-coding RNA (3368 nucleotides) under Citrus sinensis (sweet orange). Its description in RNAcentral is "long non-coding RNA (CSIN_LNC001291)". Lineage: Eukaryota; Viridiplantae; Streptophyta; Magnoliopsida; Sapindales; Rutaceae. The record is from RNAcentral.